GUGAGGAAUAUUGCGCAAUGGAGGCAACUCUGACGCAGUCAUGCCGCGUGCAGGAAGAAGGCGCUACGCGUUGUAAACUGCUUUUAACCGGGAAGAAACCCCAGGACGUGUCCUGGGUUGACGGUACCGGAGGAAUAAGCACCGGCUAACUUCGUGCCAGCAGCCGCGGUAAUACGAAGGGUGCAAGCGUUAUCCGGAUUCAUUGGGUUUAAAGGGUGCGUAGGCGGAGCGUUAAGUCAGUGGUGAAAUCCUGCAGCUUAACUGUAGACUUGCCAUUGAUACUGGCGCUCUUGAGUGCGCUUGAAGUGGGCGGAAUGUGCCGUGUAGCGGUGAAAUGCUUAGAUAUGGCACAGAACACCAAUUGCGAAGGCAGCUCACUAAGGCGAUACUGACGCUGAGGCACGAAAGCGUGGGGAUCGAACAGGAUUAGAAACCCUAGUAGUCC
This 445-nucleotide ribosomal RNA is filed under the name uncultured bacterium. Its description in RNAcentral is "partial 16S ribosomal RNA". It matches the Rfam family "Bacterial small subunit ribosomal RNA", at positions 354 to 796 of the family's 1533-position model. The record is from RNAcentral.